This 232-nucleotide ribosomal RNA is filed under the name uncultured bacterium. Its description in RNAcentral is "partial 16S ribosomal RNA". It matches the Rfam family "Bacterial small subunit ribosomal RNA", at positions 15 to 236 of the family's 1533-position model. The record is from RNAcentral.
GAUCCUGGCUCAGGAUGAACGCUAGCUACAGGCUUAACACAUGCAAGUCGAGGGGAAACGACAUCGAAAGCUUGCUUUUGAUGGGCGUCGACCGGCGCACGGGUGAGUAACGCGCAUCCAACCUGCCCACCACUUGGGGAUAACCUUGCGAAAGUAAGACUAAUACCCAAUGAUAUCUCUAGAAGACAUCUGAAAGAGAUUAAGGAUUCAUCGGUGAUGGAUGGGGAUGCGU